RNAcentral lists this ribosomal RNA (492 nucleotides) under uncultured bacterium. RNAcentral's name for it is "partial 16S ribosomal RNA". It matches the Rfam family "Bacterial small subunit ribosomal RNA", at positions 28 to 507 of the family's 1533-position model. The record is from RNAcentral.
GAUGAACGCUGGCGGCGUGCCUAACACAUGCAAGUCGAACGGAAAGACACUAAGAGCGUUCCCUUACUGGUGGCGAGGGGCGGACGAGCGAGGAAUACAUCGCAUUCUACUUUGUCGUGGUGAAUAACGUGGGGAAACUACCGCUAAUACCUCAUACCUCCAACGGGUGGAUUCAGUAGAUUUUCCGGCUUUGGGUGAUUGAAUGAGCCGUUGUCGGGUUGGCUAGUUGGUGGGGUAAAGGCGCACCAAGGCGACGAUCCGUAGCUGGUCUGGGAGGAUGAUCCGCCACAGUGGAACUGAGACACGGUCCAGACUCCUACGGGCGGCCGCAGUGGGGAAUAUUGGACAAUGGGCGGAAGCUUGAUCCAGCCAUGCCGCGUGGGUGAAGAAGGGCUUCGGGUUGUAAAACCCUUUUGUUGGGGAAGAAAAGCUGCAGCAGAAUCCAAGGUUGUUCUGACGGUACCUAAAGAAUAAGCACCGGCUAACUACGUG